Molecule: non-coding RNA, 31 nt
Filed under: Rattus norvegicus (Norway rat)
Lineage: Eukaryota; Metazoa; Chordata; Mammalia; Rodentia; Muridae
Source: RNAcentral
UCUAAUUACUAAUAAUUAGGUGAACACAAGC